GGAGAGGUGGCAGAGUGGUCGAAUGCACUGGUUUCGAAAACCAGCAGAGGCGUAAGCUUCUCGUGGGUUCAAAUCCCACCCUCUCCGCCA
This 90-nucleotide transfer RNA is filed under the name bacterium. RNAcentral's name for it is "tRNA-Ser". It matches the Rfam family "tRNA". Rfam says of the family: Transfer RNA (tRNA) molecules are approximately 80 nucleotides in length. Their secondary structure includes four short double-helical elements and three loops (D, anti-codon, and T loops). Further hydrogen bonds mediate the characteristic L-shaped molecular structure. tRNAs have two regions of fundamental functional importance: the anti-codon, which is responsible for specific mRNA codon recognition, and the 3' end, to which the tRNAs corresponding amino acid is attached (by aminoacyl-tRNA synthetases). tRNAs cope with the degeneracy of the genetic code in two manners: having more than one tRNA (with a specific anti-codon) for a particular amino acid; and 'wobble' base-pairing, i.e. permitting non-standard base-pairing at the 3rd anti-codon position. The record is from RNAcentral.